UUUUUCGCAGAACGGCAGCGUUCCUGCUCCUUCACGGGGGGUGAAUACCGGAUUCGGGUUCUUUACCUGGCGGUAAUA
This 78-nucleotide transfer RNA is filed under the name Escherichia coli. RNAcentral's name for it is "tRNA-Val". The record is from RNAcentral. Lineage: Bacteria; Pseudomonadati; Pseudomonadota; Gammaproteobacteria; Enterobacterales; Enterobacteriaceae.